GUCCUGGCCCUAAACGAUGUCAACUAGGUCGGAGUCACUCUGACGUGUUUCUGGCCGAAACAAAAGCGUUAAGUUGACCGCCUGGGGAGUACGGUCGCAAGGCUAAAACUCAAAGGAAUUGACGGGGGCUCACACAAGCGGUGGAGUAUGUUGCUAAAUUCGAUGCAACGCGAAGAACCUUAUCCUGGGCUUGACAUGCUUGGAUGCCUGCCUUGAAAGAGAAUAGGCUGCCCUUCGGGUGAAACUUGCACAGGUGCUGCAUGGCUGUCGU
Molecule: ribosomal RNA, 271 nt
Filed under: uncultured bacterium
Lineage: Bacteria
Description: partial 16S ribosomal RNA
Rfam family: Bacterial small subunit ribosomal RNA
Source: RNAcentral